AUUAUUUUUUAAACAGAACUCACAUGCACCGACACAUGAUUCAGGGUGCCCGGGCGCUAUCAGCGAAAGUUGAUCAUCGGGUCGAAUUCAUGGGGUGUGUGGAGGCCUAAC
This 111-nucleotide small RNA is filed under the name Endozoicomonas numazuensis. Its description in RNAcentral is "t44 RNA". It matches the Rfam family "t44 RNA". From Rfam's summary of the family: This family consists of a number of bacterial RNA genes of between 135 and 170 bases in length. The t44 gene is found between the map and rpsB genes in all species in the full alignment apart from Shigella flexneri. The function of this RNA is unknown. Lineage: Bacteria; Pseudomonadati; Pseudomonadota; Gammaproteobacteria; Oceanospirillales; Endozoicomonadaceae. The record is from Rfam by way of RNAcentral.